AAGGAGUGGAUGAGGAAACACAAACUGCUGUUACUUCCAACACCGCCAAGCUGCUGGUGAAACAGAAGAGGAAGCAUUUGAGGCCUUAUUCGGGAAAGAACAACCAGGUCGGGUAAGGUUGUAUGGAAGAUCUGUGACAAAGACUGAU
Arachis ipaensis is the source of this 148-nucleotide non-coding RNA. NCBI's taxonomy places the organism in Eukaryota, Viridiplantae, Streptophyta, Magnoliopsida, Fabales, Fabaceae. The record is from RefSeq and is a predicted model, not a curated record.